Non-coding RNA from Podarcis lilfordi (Lilford's wall lizard), 73 nucleotides. NCBI's taxonomy places the organism in Eukaryota, Metazoa, Chordata, Lepidosauria, Squamata, Lacertidae. The record is from the annotation of a GenBank genome assembly.
GAGGGCUAUAGCUCAGUGGUUGAGAAUCUGCUUUGCUCACAGAAGGUCCCAGGUUCAGUCCCUGGCAUCUUCA